CCUACGGGACGCACCAGUAGGGAAUCUUCGGCAAUGGACGAAAGUCUGACGGAGCAACGCCGCGUGAGCGAAGAAGGCCUUCGGGUCGUAAAGCUCUGUUGUUAGGGAAGAACAAGUAACGCAGUAACUGGCGUUACCGUGACGGUACCUAACGAGAAAGCCACGGCUAACUACGUGCCAGCAGCCGCGGUAAUACGUAGGUGGCAAGCGUUGUCCGGAUUUAUUGGGCGUAAAGCGAGCGCAGGCGGUCUUUUAAGUCUGAUGUGAAAGCCCUCGGCUCAACCGAGGAAGAUCAUUGGAAACUGGAGGACUUGAGUGCAGAAGAGGAGAGUGGAAUUCCAUGUGUAGCGGUGAAAUGCGUAGAUAUAUGGAGGAACACCAGUGGCGAAGGCGACUCUCUGGUCUGUAACUGACGCUGAGGCUCGAAAGCGUGGGGAGCAAACAGGAUUAGAUACCCGUGUAGUC
This 465-nucleotide ribosomal RNA is filed under the name uncultured bacterium. Its description in RNAcentral is "bacterial SSU rRNA". It matches the Rfam family "Bacterial small subunit ribosomal RNA", at positions 338 to 795 of the family's 1533-position model. The record is from RNAcentral.